RNAcentral lists this ribosomal RNA (440 nucleotides) under uncultured bacterium. RNAcentral describes it as "partial 16S ribosomal RNA". It matches the Rfam family "Bacterial small subunit ribosomal RNA", at positions 338 to 795 of the family's 1533-position model. The record is from RNAcentral.
CCUACGGGCGGCAGCAGUAGGGAAUAUUGCUCAAUGGGGGAAACCCUGAAGCAGCAACGCCGCGUGAGGGAUGAAGGUUUUCUGGUUGUAAACUCCUUUUGUUAGGGAAGAUAAUGACGGUAUCUAACGGCUCAGCCCCGGCUAACUCCGUACCAGCCGCCGCGGUCCUACGGAGGGUGCACGCGUUACUCGGAAUCACUGGGCGUAAAGCGCGCGUAGGAGGGAUAGCAAGUCAGAUGUGAAAUCCUAUGGCGUAACCAUAGAACUGCAUUUGAAACUGGUAUUCUAGAGUAUGGGAGAGGUAGGUGGAAUUCUUGGUGUAGGGGUAAAAUCCGUAGAGAUCAAGAGGAAUACUCAUUGCGAAGGCGACCUGCUAGAACAUAACUGACGCUGAGGCGCGAAAGCGUGGGGAGCAAACAGGAUUAGAUACCCGAGUAGUC